UACAGAGGUCCCAAGCGUUGUUCGGAUUCACUGGGCGUAAAGGGUGCGUAGGUGGCGGGGUAAGUUUGAUGUGAAAUCUCCGGGCUUAACCCGGAAACUGCAUUGGAUACUAUUCUGCUCGAGGUUUGGAGGGGGGACUGGAAUUCUCGGUGUAGCAGUGAAAUGCGGAGAUAUCGAGAGGAACAACAGUGGCGAAGGCGAGUCCCUGGACAACACCUGACACUGAGGCACGAAAGCGAGGGGAGCAAACAGG
This 253-nucleotide ribosomal RNA is filed under the name uncultured bacterium. Its description in RNAcentral is "partial 16S ribosomal RNA". It matches the Rfam family "Bacterial small subunit ribosomal RNA", at positions 524 to 776 of the family's 1533-position model. The record is from RNAcentral.